This 30-nucleotide non-coding RNA is filed under the name Homo sapiens (human). Lineage: Eukaryota; Metazoa; Chordata; Mammalia; Primates; Hominidae. The record is from RNAcentral.
UGUGAUGAUACAAAGCAUUUCACGUGGUGU